UACAGAGGUCUCAAGCGUUGUUCGGAUUCAUUGGGCGUAAAGGGUGCGUAGGUGGCGCCGUAAGUCAGGUGUGAAAUCUCGGGGCUUAACUCCGAAACUGCAUUCGAUACUGCCGUGCUUGAGGACUGGAGAGGAGACUGGAAUUUACGGUGUAGCGGUGAAAUGCGUAGAUAUCGUAAGGAAGACCAGUGGCGAAGGCGGGUCUCUGGGCAUCUCCUGACGCUGAGGCGCGAAAGCGUGGGGAGCAAACGGG
Molecule: ribosomal RNA, 253 nt
Filed under: uncultured bacterium
Lineage: Bacteria
Description: partial 16S ribosomal RNA
Rfam family: Bacterial small subunit ribosomal RNA
Source: RNAcentral